GAAAGGAUUAUGCUAUUUUCUUCCUGAUUGAUUUUAGCAUAUAGUUUCUAAUGGACCGUUGUUUGCUAAAACUUGUAACGGAACAUGGUAGCUCUAUACCCAGAUCUGCCACAAAGUCUGCAGGCCAAUAGCAAAGUGCAAUUAUAGCUAGUUCGAGACUAUUAAAUUGCUGAUUUGUGAGACCAUAAAUGUAAACACCUAAGGCUCCUGAAACAGAACAAUAGCAUGUAGAAGAUGGAAUUCUUUGUGUCUUCAACUUAAUCCACUGAAGUACAAAUGUACCUAUUGCCUUGCCUUUUAGAACUUGAUUUAACCUUCGAAAUAAUCAGACUCCCAAGAAAUGCAAUGACAUUUCUAUAGGUACAAAAGAUAGACUAUCAAGAUUAUUGCCCAUCAUUCAACUGCUAAUUUGUCCUAGGGCUAUACUUUGGGUUCUUAAAUCAAUAUUUUAAGACUGUUGAAGCCACAUGGCAAUGAUAAUAGAAGUGCAAACAUAGCCCCUAGCGCUGCUAUGGGUAUUAACUAUACUAUAUCAUUCUUUUCAGAGCAAGACUACCCAACAGAUGGUAUACACGAGACACUGGCAUUGUUAACCAUGGGGUAACAAUGGUGGGAAAUAAUUGUGUGACCCGAAAAAUUUGUAGUGACAUGCACCGGUGAAUAUACUAGCAAGGUUGUGGAACAGAUACAGUUUGAUGGGCAGCAGCUUGUUCUUAGGAUCUGGAAUAACCAUGAACCAAUCAUCCAGGUACCUACCUGUCUUGGACUCAGUUCCCUGAAGCUGUGACAUUAAAUGCUUGUUGAGGGAACCCAUUUUGAUAAAGCUUGACAGAGAGAAAAACUGCCAGUUUAAACAGUGAGGCAACAGACCUGUUUACCAACUAUUUGCCAAAAAGAUCAGGUGAUGUUAACAA
Pelodiscus sinensis (Chinese soft-shelled turtle) is the source of this 914-nucleotide non-coding RNA. The record is from RefSeq and is a predicted model, not a curated record. NCBI's taxonomy places the organism in Eukaryota, Metazoa, Chordata, Testudines, Trionychidae.